CAUUUAUAGGCAUUAAUGGCUAUACAGAUCAUGAAUGGACCAUUAUUUUCUUCUCCAUGUUUCAGAUAAGGUGCAUCGUUCCCUGCUCGUGGUCCACUCGUGGAGUCAUUUCCACCAGGAAGCUUCGUCGCCACAUCCAAGUCGUAUUCCGGAGCGUAUCUCGACCACCUGCAUCGGGGGAAGGUGAGGGGCAAAACCCCACUGUAAAAAACAAAAGGCACCAUGGCCAUUUUCUCAAGCUGCCAUCUUUGACCCAGUCCGAAGAAGAAGAUCUGCCGUGGCAGAUGCAGAGAGUAAAGUCGGGGCCAAAGAAAAGCCGACAGACAACCAGCAGCCCAUCGGGCAAUCAGUCGAACCGCAAAGGGCACAUGGAGAUUGUACUGGUUUCCCACAUCAACUUGUUCAUUGUUUAUAGAUGAGGGAGGAGAAGCAGUUGAUGUCACAAGAUUGGAGAAAAGACAGCCUCUCCGACGAAACAAGGAAGUCCAAUUGUAUCUUUUAUUGUUUGUUUGACCUAAAUCGAGCACGAGGACCGGAGAGGAGAGACUUGUGUUCAUAUCCCCAUGUGGAGGGGUUUCAGCCGUAGGUCUUUUCAGGCCAGUUUGUGUUCUCGUAUCUCCUCUCGACGUUUCCAUGGCUUUCGCUCGAGCAGAUGCCCUCUCCCUCGCCUGGCUUUCCCAUUCCGUAAUGUUAGGUAUCACGUCGGUGUUGUUGACUCUUCGCACACAUCUUUCUGUGACCAGAAUCCUCCGACCUUCUCACCACCGAUCCUUAAAAGCACUGCAAGUCUAUCCAUGUCGGUAGAACUUUGACAUGUAAAAUUAGUAAUAAUGUCUUAAUCAAUCUUACUCGGUUUAAGCUAAUGUACAUAAAAAAAAUGUCAUGAAUACACACACUUG
Long non-coding RNA from Musa acuminata AAA Group (dessert banana), 899 nucleotides. RefSeq lists it as uncharacterized. Lineage: Eukaryota; Viridiplantae; Streptophyta; Magnoliopsida; Zingiberales; Musaceae. The record is from RefSeq and is a predicted model, not a curated record. The transcript has 3 exons.